GGAGAGGUGGCAGAGUUCGGUUGAAUGCGUGCGACUCGAAAUCGUAUAGGCUAGCAAUAGUCUCGUGGGUUCAAAUCCCACCCCCUCCGCCA
Molecule: transfer RNA, 92 nt
Filed under: Clostridiales bacterium
Lineage: Bacteria; Bacillati; Bacillota; Clostridia; Eubacteriales
Description: tRNA-Ser
Rfam family: tRNA
About the family: Transfer RNA (tRNA) molecules are approximately 80 nucleotides in length.
Source: RNAcentral